Molecule: small RNA, 122 nt
Filed under: Photorhabdus heterorhabditis
Lineage: Bacteria; Pseudomonadati; Pseudomonadota; Gammaproteobacteria; Enterobacterales; Morganellaceae
Description: RtT sRNA
Rfam family: RtT RNA
About the family: This family represents a bacterial cis-regulatory element known as RtT RNA. The exact function of RtT is unknown although it is thought that it may be involved in changing the cellular response in relation to amino acid starvation.
Source: RNAcentral
ACUGUAAAUCUGCCGUCACAGACUUCGAAGGUUCGAGUUGAGCGCAGCGAAACAACAAUGCGGCGCUUGCGACGCGUUGGCCCGCAGGGCGAGGAACGCAGUGACGAGUCAUCCUUCCCCCA